Molecule: long non-coding RNA, 328 nt
Organism: Brassica oleracea var. oleracea
Lineage: Eukaryota; Viridiplantae; Streptophyta; Magnoliopsida; Brassicales; Brassicaceae
Exons: 3
Source: RefSeq, a predicted model, not a curated record
AUUUGGUUUCCUGAUGUAGAGAAUCAUCCAUGUUCUUCAGCCUUUGAUUUUGAUCGGUUAAUUCGUGGUUAGCUUGAAGAGAGACAACCAGUCAAGUUUAAUUAGUUGAGUAAAACCGAUGGCCAAGGAGAGUAUUCGGAUCAGCCGGAUCCUUGUGAUGGUUCUGAACCGAGAGUGAUCCAGAAGUGAAGUGUGAUUAGCUUGAGCUCGAGUCUAGUCUUCCUUAGCCAAUCUCAUGGAUUUAAAGGUGAGUCUAGAUAGAUGAUGAAUGAAUUAUGAAUGAGUAUGCAUGAUUGCAUAUUGAAUAUGGUUGAUUAAUUAAGAAUUA